GGGGGAGGGGCAGAAUAUUGUGCCUUAAUUUCCAGGCAGAGGAGAUGAGGUGUGCAAAAUCUCCGAGGUGUUGAGGGUUUUUAUGUAUUGGAGAGAUCGAAAGGAGACCAGCAUGGCUGAAGUGGCUGAGGAUGACGGGGACAGUGGUGCUGGAGGAGGCCGGGCAGGUCAGCCAGGGACAGGCGAGGCUUUGGGGUGCACUUUCGGGUCUUUAUCAUGAGCUCAGUGUACAGCCCUAAAGGGGUUUAAGUAAGGCUGAGCCAUGACCUAUUUUCUGUCUUUGAAGGUAUACUCUGUACACAGGGUGGAUCGUGGACUGGAAAAGGGAGAGAGUGGAAGCUGGGCAAAUACCUGCAAGUAUCCUGCGUUUCUCCAGGAGAAGGAUGAUAGGGCGAGGAUGGUGGUGGCACAGGAGCUCGGAACACUUGUCUGGAGGGAGAAUGUUGGAGGCCAGCGGCAUCGAGAUUGUGAUUGCUCUCAUUUGCUCACUGAACAAUCUUCUGUUCGUUUGGCUUGAUCUUAACCUGCCUGUAAGGUGCCUAUCCCUGGGAUUUCAGGAAAUACUUGUUGACUAAAGAAAUGUGAAUACGUUGGUCAAGCUGGACGGAGCAGGUGUCCAGAUGUCUGGCAAUUACGCUUUUCAUUGUAAAUGAAUAUAAAGGCAGUAUAGCUUUAUGUAUCAGUCUCUUCUGAGCUUUCUUAGCAUGUAUCAGUACUGAUAAACGUAAUCAUUUCUGGAACCUCACUGAGAUAGACUUUUGGAGCCAAGAAAUUUGACAGACAGUCCUGAAUUACCUGUCAGUCCUGAAUUCUCCGAGGUGAACGUCACCCUGUGGAGACUCUCUGAACAGCUACCUUUCCCUGGCAGUAUCGUCUAUUUUGAUCAAUGCUUUUCCAUUGUCCUUUUUAAAAAAUUUAAGUAAGCCCAAGAUAGUCAUAUCCACGAAUUGUUUCUGUCUUUAGCAAUUAUUCCACCCAGUGUGGGAAGGUGCUGCCCACCUACAAAAAAAGAACUAUAGAAUUUGAUUGUCUAAAAGGCAUAUUAAAUGUAGAAAGAUUCAGAGUCAAGGAGAACCUUGUUCUAAAUUGUUUCUCUGUGCACCUAACUUUUUAUUAUGGCACGUUGAUUUCCUAUGAAACUUAAAGUUUUUGUUUUUCAAAUCAUCUGUUAUCGAGGCAUCCGGUGAUACUUGUCUGAAGGGCUCUACCUAGGAACUCUGGGAAGUUGGGCAGCUGAAAUAAUUGUCUAAGGUUUAAUGAAGCCCUUUUGGAGCUCCUGAGUUCAGAAGAUGUCAAAGAAUGGUAUAAAACACGUGUGCACAUUUAUGGCUGACUGUAUUUUCCUCAUCUUUUGCAGGGCAAAAAUGGAAGAAACAGAGGUACUUUUAGAUGGAGCAAAGUGAGCCACUGAACAGACAGGCAUUGAAGUACCAGAAAGUUAAUGGCACAGAAUACUGCUGACUGCGUGGUUCUCGUCUUAAUGCAUUUUCCAACCUUGAACCUGAGAAUACCAGAGGCUGGGGACUCUGGACACUCCUCUGCACAGUUUUCUGCCAGUGGCCUGGUUCCUGAGGUAACAAGUGGGUGUCCCGGGCGUGUGUGUGUGUGUUAACAACAGCAGUGAUGCCACGUGGUGCCCAGAGGUCGCCGCGAUCUGUCCCGGGGGUUCCUGGUCCUCGGGGCUUCUGAGAUGAACUGUGAACUUGGGGCAUCCUGAGAAGUACAGGCGUUUUGGAGUGUGCCACAGCAAAUCUGGAUGUCGGCAUAAACACAGCUCUCAAAGUGAAAGCAGGGGCCUCGAGGAAGGAAUUACCCUCAUCUCGCUCCCGACCUGCUUACUGUGCUGGAAAACAAAGUAAGUUUUGUUUGUUUCUUUGUUAGUCAGUUGCUGCUACAUGUUUUCUCUUGCUAACAUUGUAUCAGACACUCCAUAUCUGGCAAACGCCAAGCUUUUCCCCCCUCAUUGGGAAGUAGGAUAUGAAGUUUGUUACAUAGCUACUUGCUUCUUUAAUCUUUUCUGUCUCUCUUCCUAUAUCUAGCGUGCUGGCUUCCUUGUUGGAGAUCGUAUGAGACUGAAAUUUAUUAUCAAUGAGAAAACACAAAGUUCUUUUUUUCUUCUUCUUCUUUUUUAAACAAUCCAAGAACCUUGCUGUUAAUUAAAGGACAGUGACACAGGCAAAACUUUUUUUACGUGGUGCAGCCAGCAGCAUAUCUAGCAAAAGAGCCCCAGUUCACCGUCCUUAUUUCCAUUGGGAAGCAGAAAGGGUGCCUGUACGAGACUUACGUGAAAAUAGAGUGUCCCCCCUGUGGGAACGGCAGACAUUGGCUGGGAGUGGUGCCUGAACAAGAGGCCGUAACUUAAAAACCUGUUGGGAAAUGGGAAGGAGCUGAAGAAUACGAAUUAUUUAGUGAUGUUGGGGGGAAAAAAAAACCCACAAACAGACUUUUUGUAAGAAUGGGAUAAAAUGUAUAAAGACCUAAACUUGUCGAGGAAACUGAUGUUUUCCUUCAAGUUAGAAAGAUUCAUGUUUUGUAGGUUUAUAGAAGAUGUGUGGCUUUCAGAAAGUAAGAGGCAUCACCACCUGUGCAGAUUUUGGGACACCAGCCUAAUUUCUGACACUUGACCCCUGUCUUCCAUUUGUGUUUGUUUGUGUUUUAUCUGAUCCUAGCUCCAGAGCUGUGGCAUGGCUCAGUAAAUUAAUACAAAGCUCUAUGGUUUUGAAAAUGCAAAACAAAUGGAAAUGCAGAGUAGUUUAUGAUUUGUAAUUAGAUUAUCCCUCCUCAUAAAAUGGACUGUUUUUACCGUAGAGUUUUCUGGACUUUUCUCAACUCCCAACGGUAACACUUUAAAGGUAGAAGGAGGCAUUGUAACUACGGAGUGGCAUUGGAAGAGCAGAAAUCAGGAAUCUUCCUUCUAAAUCUCGUAUGGAGUACUGAGUGAAUUUAAGUUAGGGCUUCUGUGCCGUGGGAAUUCACGUUUUAUCUCAACGUGGUGGUGGUAGGACGUGGGGUGUCCGUUUUUCAUUUAAAACCCUCCAGGCUCCUUUUAUGAAUGUCUGUGGAUUAUUCAGCAAACUUCCUUUAAACACCUUUUUGCAGAGUACUGUACUCAGAGCUGCAGUUUGUCACAAUUAAACCUACCGAGAUUUGGUUUGUCAAUUAAAGAUCCAGAACAGUUUGAAGCCAGGGUGAAUGAGCAGAGCAUUCCCCUCGGAACGGUUUGUUAGAGAUGGUGCCACAUGAGCUGGGCUGUCCGCUUCUGAGCUGCCCUCCUAAUUAAAGGGGAAGGUGCCUGCCAUCUGUCUGCUUUCAUUCAGGGCAGUAGGGGGCCUGGGGUGGAAGGAAGCCACCCCCCUUUAUUUUUUCUCCCACUCUUUUUUACAGUCCUCUUUCUCCCUAGUCAGUGACCCAGAAGGUCAUUGAUGAUCUGUCUAUCUCAGACUGAAUAGUAACAUAAGCAUGCAAGGCACUUGCAAAAAAAAAAAAAAAAAAAAAAGUUUAUAAUGUGUGCUUAUCCAUUUAGAAUUCUGCUUGAAUUAUGUCUGGGAGUGUUGUAAUUUCUAUGUUCGUGUCUUUGCUCCUGUUAACUGAGGGCACUACUGGCAGAAAAGUAGGGAUUUUUAGUUUUACUGAUUUUGCUUUUUGUGUGAAAAAAUUGUUUACACUUCACUGGGCAUAAUCAGAAGAUGGCAGCAUCGUAACUGUGCGGUGGGGAUGUACAGAAAUACCGUUCUGAACAAAACCAGGGCUACCUGUUGACUGUGAUACGCACGUGUCAUCACAAGGGAGGUUGUGCACAGGGGUGUUAACACGUGUCCGUGUUACUGAGCGGUGUGCUGAGGCUUCCUGGGCCAAUCAUUGAAAUAAUUCAUGGUAUUUAUCCUUUAGUUAGGCAAUAAGCCUUUUAGCCCCUUUCUCAUGAGAAUAGAUUAUUGGAGAAUUUGGUUUGGGGUCAUGGCUUUUAAUUGUUUUUGAAAUGUAGGGUGCUCUAACUAAAUGAUUGAGCUUUCUUGCCUCAGUUUCCACCUGGAAGAAAUCUCUGCUGCUUUCAGAAACAUUUAAGAGAAUAUGAAAUAAAAUUUUGUCUUCGAUGAAAACUUUAUUAUCACUGAAAAUUUCUAAAAUCUGCGGUGGUUUCUCUUUUCUGUUCUUAUGUACUUGAGCAAAGUGUCAACCGUCAUUUAAAAAGAUUCAGUCCUGACACACACUGUUGAGCUACCCAGGCAGUAGAUUUGGACUUUCCAGAAUAUACUGGGUUUUGGAACUUUCUGUGACAAGGAACUGUGGUGUCUCUUAAGCCCUCCAUGUUUGGAAAGCCCAAAUGUGAGAGUCAUUGUCUGUAAUUUUAUUUAAAGGUUUUUUUUCCAAUUUGUCAUCAACUUAUAAUGAGCUUCCUCGUCGAUGUGCUUAUGUUGUUCAAUCUGGGAAGAGCAGCAUGUAGGUUCUGGAGACAAUGACGUCAGUCUGCAUGAUUGGAUGAUCAUGAAAAGUAGAUCGUUUCCCAGGCACUGACGGGUGCACAGUGCCGAAUAGGCAGGUCUUUUCAUCUUUUUUAUGUAACAAUUUUAGAUCCCCAACAAGGUACUUCACUAACUGUCGUCUCUAAGGUGUGAUUUAAAACUAAUUUGGUUUUACUCAUCUUGUAUUUACUUCAGGGGAUCUAAGUAAACAAUUUAAAUGAAUCACAUCUAGAAAGCGUUCCUUCAAAGUAACGCAAUUAAUAUUUUAACGCACGUAGCAAAAGACACACAGACAUGCAAAUGAAUGUUGCCUCCUUAAGUACCGAGUCAGCUAGGAAGAAGUUAAGCCGCUACUUAACUGCAGCCAUGUCAUGUCGUCUUUGCCAGAGACACACGUAGGACUUGCCGUUUGCUGGUGCCUUGAGAGCCUUCCAUCCUUUUUUAUUGCCCACUGUGGUAGAAAUUCUCUGUCCUUUGAGGACAGGAAGGAGACAGUAAUCAGGUCUGAUGAACAGACUUAUGAUCACAUAACUGACUGGUGUCAUCGGUUCAUGUAAACGUUUACGGAGGCACCUACUACAUUCCAGCCAUGAGGACUGCAGAUUCAGAAAUGGACGUGCCAUGGACCUGGCCCUCCAGGAAGACACAGCUCAGUGGGGUGAAUGAUGUCUAAGGAGGUAACGCUACAUACCGACAAGGACUGUGACAGAGGCACACGUGGUGUUGCGAGGGCCCAGAGAUGGGGUUAAAAUCAAACUUGCUGGAAAAAUGAGAGUUGUACACGUGAUUUAUAAAGGGCAUUACAUAAUAGCUUUUGGGAAAUGAAAGCCCUGGGAGCUGGGGGGAGGGGGGACCUUUUCUAUUUUAAGGAUGAGGAGCUUGGAAUUCAUUUCUGCAGUAAAUUAUCAGCCGUUUGAAAGCCUUUUGAGAAAAAGUGUUUCGUUCUGUAAUAAACAUACUUCUUUUUCACCAGAAGAAAUUGUGGCUAUAUAAAAGGGGGGAGGUCUAAAAAUUUUUUUGGAUAUUGUGAGAAUACUUCUGUCAUUCUCCAAAGGAGACUAUUUUGAAGAAUGGUUUUUAUUUACAUAUUAAAAUCAGGUACUUCUGAAAUACUCAAGAUACCAAAGCAUGACGUGCCAUGGUUAUUGCUGAGAUUAGCUGUAUAGCUUGUGGGAGACAUGAAACUUACGGCAUCUCUAAGUAUAACUUGGAAAAGAAAAGGCUUCUUCAUGUCCUCUCUCGUGUUUCCUGCCCUAGAGACAGAAUUUCUGUCCUGUAGCCAAUAGUAGAUCUUCCUGUGGAUAAGUUCAUUUAACAGUUACUUGUGGAGUGUCCCUCAAUGCCAGGUACAGUUCUAGGAGCUGAUCAGAAGCUGAGCUGAUUAGCUAUAGACCCUGGAUGCUGGUGCUACUCAGAAGGACUCUGUAGGGUUGUCCGUACAGCCACCAUUUCCUGGGUGUUUUUUCUGAGCAUGGCAGUGUGGGCGUGGCCACGAUGCUAUCCUUGUAGAACUUGGAGUAAGAUUCCGUGCACAGGUGACAGAACGAAUGCAGAGCAAGAGAUGAAUGUAUUAAUACAGAGAGCUAACUAAACAUACCACGUGUUUGCAGAAAAGAAAGCUUGUCUGUGACCAGGAUGAUCACGAAAUCAUUUAUGGAUUAAGGAGCAUUUGAGCUGGACAUUGAAAGAAGACUCAGGGAGCAUGUUCCAGUCCAGGGAAAGCCAGGCAAAGGCCUAGAGCGGGAUGGGAAAUUCCAGUGUACCGAGCAGGCAGUAACUGAUUCGUUGUUGCUGGGCAACCAUGUGUGCAAAAGUGACUAAUGAGAGGAUAAGGCCGCCAAGGUCCCUUGAGGCCAGAUCCGGGUGGACCAUGUAUGUCCAACAACUAAAUGCUUUAAACUUGAUCCUGAGCCAUCGGGGAGCAGUGGAAGUGUCCCGGUCAGGAGAGUGACAGUGGGAUCUCUCCUGGAGGAAGCCUUGUCUGAUGUCAGUGUGGGGGGUGGUUGGCCAGUGAGAGAAUCCAAGCGGAAGGCAUGUGAGCUGCUGAGACACAGUCCAGGCCAGAGGGGAAGAGGGCCCAGAUGAGGGGGGACGACUGGAAUGGAGAAAACUAGACAGGUUAAAGAGGUGGGCUUUAGGAACUGCCUGGAUAACAGAGAUUAGCUGGUGGGGAGGUGGGAGCAAAAAUAACUCCAGAUUUUAGAACCAGACUCUGUUUAUUACUUCUCGGCCAUUCGCCAGGCAUUUCACAUAGAUCAGUUCAUUCAGGUGUAUCCUAAUUCUAUAAGGUUGGUGUUUUUGUCCGUAUUUCAGAGAUGUAGAAAACCAAGGCUCAGAGAAAGGUUUGUCUAAAGUUGUCCAGAAGCUAAUAGGAUAUUGAACAGGGCAUUGCAGGUGUUCCUGAUUUCCAUGCCUGUGUUCUCUCUACCGGGUUUGGAAGAGAGCAGGCGUGAGAGAAAAGGUGAUCUCUCGUUGUUUUGCACAUAUUCAGCGUAGAUGCUGGUGAGACGUCCGUCAGGUGACUGGAGACACAGAACCGAAUCUCUAGGACAAAGUCAGGAGGACCAGAGCUUAAGAGCCAGCUGCAUGUUUAUUUAGCAAAUACUUGUUGAGUGUCCUUUGGACCAGUGCUGCAUGGCAGGAGUACACUGGAAAGCAAACAGGCCAUAGUCUUGAUUCACAGACCCGCAGGCCAGGGAGUGAGACGCCACCCUGUGGGUUGAGUAUAAUGCAGGGGGAAGUGCAGAUUUGCCACGGGAAGAGCCACUGAGGGGAAGCUAACCACGUCUAGAGACACAGAAGGCCUCGGAAGAGGUUGUAGCGCUUAACAUGACUCUCGAUGAUGAGUGCCAAGAUAAAGUGGAAAAAGGCCUAUUCGAGGCAGGGGACCUAGAAUGUACUAGACCCAGAGGCAAGAGGGAAACACAGUACGUCUGAGGAACUGGACAUGGUAUGCCUGGAACAAGGGAGGAGGAAACCAGGUAAGUUAGAGAGGUGGGCGGCAGCUAGGUUAGGAAAUGCCCCAGAAGAACAAAGGUCAGCAUGCAAGUUUCUGAAGGCAGCCGUGUUGUUGCUGGUACCUGCUGGGGGGGCGGUGGGGGGAGUCAGAUUUGGGGCUUAGAAUUGUUAGGUUUGGUUAUCCUGAGUAACCAGUGGCCUAAGUAAUUGGUGAAUACAGUAAUGGGGAGCUCAAGGACACGAGGUUGCAGCCGAGAGUGGGAUGUCCAGAUUUAUUAUUGCUCAAGUGCAGCCGUUGGAGGGAUGAUGAGAGAAGAAGGUCAUGAGAGCGGGUGGGUGAAGCGGAGGGCAGAGGCCGGCUGUGGGAGGUGAGGGGGUUGAGGAACUAAGAGACUCCGUCCUGUGCUGGAUGUGGGGUUCACGUGGAGGUGGGGUUCACGGAGGUUGUCGGCCCGACUUGGAGCAGAGAAGGUCAGCGUGAAGGUCGGCUGAGGAGGCGUGGAGGCCGGGCACUGAGGUGGGCCCUGAAAACGUGAUUUCCGCAGAUCGUGUGACGGCGUUAGUGAACGAAGACAAGCAAGGGCACAAAGGCAGAGUGAGUAGGACCUGGGGCCAGGGGUGGGAGGAGAUCAGGAAGGCGUUUUCAAAGAGGAAAACAGGGAAGUUCAGAGUCCCGAAGGCCAGAGGAGGUCCGUGCCAAAGAAGGAGGUGUUGAGCAGCAGCCACUAACUCAGGGCUCAGGAGGAAAGGACUGGCAAGGGACCCUCCGGCCGGCGAGCGCAGAGCGUUCGUUGACUUAAGGCGUGUAAGGGAAUCCCAAAGUACAGGCAGCGAGUAUAACCCCCACUUGCAACACAUUUUUGGUUGGAAGAAAAGAGGAGGCAUAUGGUAGCUUGAGGAGUAAAUCUACUGUAGCAACAAUGAGUCUUGUUACUUUGUUAUUUCUUUGACAGUCUUCUAGGAUUCUCCACUGUGUGUCCUGUUGCUGGUCAAACUGUUUACCCUUUCCAUGCUUCGUUUGUCAAACGGGUACCUGCCUCAUGGGGCUGUCGUAAGGAGUAAAUAAAUGGGUUGUAAAGCGCUGCCUUGGACACAGUAAGUGAUACACAAAUGAAGGUGAAAGAAAGCAAAGAAGGAAGCAGAUACAUACGUUACAAUAAUCAAUCAUAUGUAUUAUAUGCAACAUGUAACAUGCACACAUGCACCCUUGUAUUUUAGGCACUUACCCCUGAGUAUUCAUGAUAAUUCUGUAAUGUGAGUGAAACAGAGGCCCUGAGAGUUACAGGGAACUUAUUCCAGGGCGUGCUGCUGACGAGCAGUCAUCCCGGGAGACAGGGCCCUGUCUCCCGACUUGGAGUGGGUGGCCCUCGCACUGAGCCAGGCUGCGUCCUUGGGCUGUUGCAGGAAGAGUGCUGGACCUGCAGCUUCACAGAAGCAGCUGAGGGCAGCUCUUCUGGGUGUGGUGUGCACUGUGCUCUCCACACAGCCCCCGCCCCGUUGGUGUCACCCCUCUGUGCUGCGUACUUGGCUGGUACCGGCACUGAGUUUGCAACCCUUGUUCCAAAGGCUUGGUCCCCUGUGACUGGAGUGCCUUCCUUCUCCUGACUCAUCCUGCCGUGCAGAUGCCAUCGUCUUCUGCAUCUCCUUUGUAGGGUUUCUUCAGACUUAGAAUUCACCUCUAAAGAAGGGGGUGCCUCGUCAGAAUUCCUUGCCUCUCAUCUCAUCUCAGAGUGAAAUUGCUGUGCGUUCUAGAGAAUUUUCCCACUGGAAGGAACCGUCUGAACAUCAUCUCUUUUGCAAGGAUGGUGUGAUGGUCAAUCUUAUGUGUCAGCUUUAGCCAGGUCACGGUACCCAGCUAUCUGGUGAAACCCUAGUGUGCGUGUCACGGUGCAGAUAGACGUCAUUUAGUUUUAGAUGAGGUUGAACAUUGAAGGCAGUAGACUCUGAGUAAAGCAAAUGAUCCUGUAUAAUUACCCUCAUCCAGUUGUGACAGCCUUAGAGAAAAAGAUUGGUCCCCCUGCCCCCACCGCCACCAAGGAAGAGGGAAUUCUGUCUCCAGACAGCCCUCCAGCUUGGACUGCAACACAGCUCUUCUCUGGGUCACCAUCCUGAGUGUGGGUUUGCCAACCCCCAUAAUCGCCUGAGCCAGUUCCUUAAAAUAAAUCUCUCCGUCAUUCUCCAUCUCUCUCUCCACCAUACGUGCACACUGAGACAGACAGACAGACACACACACACACACACACACACACACACACGCACGCACAUCCUAUUUGUUUCUCUGGAGAACCUUUAUUAUAGAUAGGAAAAUACAGAAAUUGAAAUUGCUCAGCUGCUGUUGAUAGUAGCAAAAAGCUGCAUCAGCUCUCUCGGCAUUCUUGGUGUACAUGUGUGUGCAUGUGUAUAUACAUACAUAUGUAUACAUACAUGUACAUACAUAUAUACACACACACUUUUAUUUAUGUAUGAUUUGUUGUAUAGAUGGGAAAGUGAAUUGUAGAAAGGAUGUGGGGUACUCAGUGUGAUGCAUAAACUUGAUGGGAGAGUUAAAGAAAGAACUUGAUUUCCUCUGGUUGUGGUUUAGUUGUUGUCUUGCUGUUUGGCUCUCAUGUUUUUAUUAGCAAGAUAAUAAAGUUACUGGGUUUGCCAUACAUAAUUAUUGCUAACAUUUAUGGAAUAUUUUCCAUAGGGUACUAAUCUAAUUGCUUUAUAGCUGUUUAUGAUUUUUAUCCAUACAUCUACCCAGGAUCUAAUAUUAUCCUCAUAUUACAGAUUUUUUUAAUGUUUAUUUAUUUUUGAGAGAGAGAGAGAGAAGCAGAGUGCAAGUGGGGGAGGGACAGAGAGUGAGGGAGACACAGAAUCUGAAGCAGGCUCCAGGCUCCGAGCUGUCAGCACAGAGCCCGAUAUAGGGCUCGAACUCAAGGACUGCUAGAUCAUGACCUGAGUCAAAGUCACACACUUAACCGACUGAGCCACCCAGGCGCCCCCCUCAUAUUACAGAUUUGAAACACCGAGUCCCAGUGAGCAACAUGGUCACUGCUGUGGAGAACUGAGUGAUGGAGAGUGCUUAGGGCCCUGGCAGCCUGGCUCCAGAGGUUAUGUUCCUAACCAUUCCUUCUGCCCUACUGCUUCUCAGCGUAAGACGUCUUGAGCAGAGCUCUUCAUCUGUCCUUGUGGAGUCCUCAUCCAGAACAGUCUUUAUGGUAGCGGUACUUUCCGUAGGGUUUGUUUUAGAAGAGAAAAUGCUUGGGGUGCCUGGGUGGCUCAGUCUGUUAAGCAUCCGACUUCAGCUCAGGUCAUGAUCUCGCGGUUCGUGAAUUCAAGCCCCACGUCGGGCUCUGUGCUGACAGCUCGGCACCUGGAGCCUGCUUCGGAUUCUAUGUCUCCCUCUCUCUGCCCCUCCCCUGCUCAUGCUCAUGCUCUGUCUCUGUCUUCGUCUCUGUCUCUGUCAAAAAUAAAUAACAUUAAAAAGAUAAAAAAUAAUAAAAGAGAAAAUACUUAUAAGUUAUAUCAGUUAUAAGAGGCCAUCUAAUACCUGCAUGCUACCUCCUGGAGAAACAGAGAACAUACCCAUUGCAACAAUGGUAUGGGCCUCUUGCUGGGGUAAACUUUUAGCAACUAGACUUUCCUGUCUAGCUUGGUAACCAUCUAAUUUGUAAAAAGCAUACAGAAAUGUGAUAAAGUGGUGAUGUGGUUUAGUUUCUUGUCCAGCAAUUUGGUGAGUGUCCCGGGGAAGGAGAUAGCAUGCUUCUGUGUAUAUGUCCCUUGGUUCUCUGCAGAAAUAACCAUCAAAACUGCCAUUUACUAGGCCUUGUGUGCACCAGGAACUGCUGCAAGUGCUUUACAAACAUGCCUCAUGGAGUCUUCUCAACAUCAUCCUUCCGUUUUACGUUUAAAUAAGGCAGUGAUGAGGGAGUUCAAGAAUGUUUCCGCAGUAAGUGGCACAGGACUUACACUUCAUCUUAAUGACACCAGUGCUCUCAGUCUCUCUGCUGUAUAUCCCUGAGACCCACUACUCUUCCCUGCUAGACUGUAAGCUCCGUGAGGACAGGAACUUUUUGUUUCACUGGGUUCACCACCAUAUUUGAGCAUCUACCAAGUGCACUGCCUGACACAUAGUAGGUACUUAGCGCCUGAUGUUGAGCGACGAACUCACUGUGUUCUCUGUGAUCACCACCAGCCAGCUAUGGGCCAGGUAGAGAGCACCGACCUGGGAAGGGUACUGUGGACUCCUGCAGAUUCAGCCCUCAGGUACCUGUUGGAGGAUAUUUUCUCUGUGUCUCAAGAUGAGCAUAUCAGCCUGACCUUCAGGUAGAUACUGCAUAGCUCUGUCAAUAAUCUCCUUCGCCAGAGAAAUCUAAAUGAUGUUAUGUACGUCCCUGUCCUUAGAAUUCAGGACUGAUAUUUUAUAGCUUGUACUCUAUACUGAUCUGGAAAACAUCUGAAUAAUACUGGUGCUUUUUAAGGAAACAUCAAAUUAUAAAUUACAUAUAAAUAGUUUUAAUUUCUUCUUUUUAAAUUUUUUAUUUCAACGUUUUUUUAUUUAUUUUUGGGACAGAGAGACAGAGCAUGAACGGGGGAGGGGCAGAGAGAGAGGGAGACACAGAAUCGGAAACAGGCUCCAGGCUCCGAGCCAUCAGCCCAGAGCCUGACGCGGGGCUCGAACUCACGGACCGCAAGAUCGUGACCUGGCUGAAGUCGGACGCUUAACCGACUGCGCCACCCAGGCGCCCCAAUAGUUUUAAUUUCUAAUGAAUUUUUUUUUUUUUCUUUUUUUUAGAGAGAGAGAAAGUGAGCAGGGGAGGGGCAGAGAGAGGGGGACAGAGGAUCCAAAGCAGGUUCUGUAUUGACAGCAGCAAGCCCAGUGUGGGCUCAAACUCAUGAACUGUGAGAUCAUGACCUGAGCCAAAGUUGGAUGCUCAAACUGACUGAGCUACCCAGGUGCCCCAUCAAAUUAUAUGUUUUUAAGACAUUCCCAAAGGUCUCUGUUUAUUCCAUUUUUCCAGAUCUCUCCCUCUCUCUUGUGUCUUUUUUUUCUUCACACAGGCACUCGCACACACACACCCGCACUCAUACUCAAACAUGCACUCACACACACUCACACACUACUCAUACAUGUACAUGCAUGUACAUGUGCUCACACACACAUGCAUUCACACUCAUACCCCUUAGUUUCUCACUAAUUAAUGAAUCUUCUUUGUAAACACUUUAUAAACCAAAACUGCAUUACUUAUAUUUAUAUUUUGUCCCAUUUUUUUCCUUAAAGUUUAGUUUCUUUGCUUCGUAUAACUGGACACUAAGUAUUGCAAUCUGCACCAUUAUAUAAGCUUGUUUUUCCUCUUGGAAGUAGUAAAUUAUGAUGAGUUUGAUAAAAAAUAUAAAUCAGAAUAAGCAGCAUUCAGUACUUAGCCUUCUAGUCUAGCCUAUGUUUGUGCAGGUGUAUGAUUAUUUAUGCAGACCUAUAGUAAAUAGUGUGAACUUUCUUUGCAAAACAAAUGGUACGGUCCAGAAGAAUCACCUCUGGGCUUGUAUGUUUUGUAAACUAUGUGGGUCUGUAUACACACUUGACUUGUGAGCCACGGUUUAUACCUUUUAUAAUUUUUUUCACCUUAAAAAAACCCUACAUGGCAAGAAACUCCAUUAUUAUUAGUAUAAAAAGCCUUAUAAUUUAUAGCCAAAUCAAGGCCAGGAAAGAAUGCAGAUUCACUCAGUAAAAACUCAUUAACAGCCUGCUCUGUACCAGAAUGCACUUCCUUGUAGCUUUGGAAAGCCUCAUAGUAGGGCGGUUUCUGUUUGAGAAUGAACAGUCACAAGAGCAAGGCAGAUAUAGACAAGAAUGUAAUUUUCCAAAAUUUAAAUGAGGGGUGCUAGAGUAUACAUCCAAACAAAAUACAGGAGCACCUGGGUGGCUCAUCUGACUUCAGUUUAGGUCAUGAUCUCAUGGUUCGUGAAUUCAAGUCCCACAUCAGGUGAACAUGAAUCCUGCUUCGGGUGAGCCCUCCUUCUCUCUCUCUUUCUCUCUCUCUCUCUCUCUCUCUCUCUCUCUCUCUCUCCCUCCCCCCACCUCCUCUCACUCUCUCUCUCCCUCCCCCCCCACCCUCCUCUCACUCUCUCUCUCUCUGCCCCUCGUGGGAUUCUCUCUCUCUCCCUUUCUCUCUCCCUCUCUCUACCCCUUGCUCACUUGCGCCCUCUCUCUCUCAAAACAAAACAAAAUACAGUCCUAUUAGAGUUACAAAAGUAAUAGAUAAAUUUGAAAAAAAUGUACUUUUGCAAUCUUCUCAAACUUAAAUUUUUUCUGGCAUUCCUCUUUUUGAAUCUGUAUGCUGAAUUGUUUAUUCUUUUUUUUAGUAGGGAGGAAGAAAACGUUCUCCUUAGGAAUUCAUUAGAAAUUAAAAUUAAUUUCAGCAUUUAGUAUUCUUUAGACUCUGGUGGAGGCUGAUUUGAAAGGGUGUGUUUAGUUGGAUCGGCCAUGGAGAAAGAGAACAAGCAGUUGUCCUGGCCAGUACAUCUUUGCUAUGAUGGGGAAAUGGCGUCGCUUUAACGUUCAUUUAUUUUUGAGACAGACAGAGACAGAGUGCCAGCUGGGGAGGGGCAGAGAGAGAGGGAGACACAGAAUCUGAAGCAGGCUGUGGGCUCUGAGCUGCCAGUACAGGGCCCGAUGUGGGAUUUGAACUCAUGAACCUUGAGAUCAUGACCUGAGUUGAAGUCGGACGCUUAACUUGACUGAGCCACCCAGGCGCUCCAAGAAAUGGCGUUGCUUUAAUUGCAACUCUUUCAUUGCCUUCCUUGCCAAGCCCAGUGGCUCCUGUUAUAACAUGUGGUGACUUUUCCCUUGGAGACUAACUCGCUCCAAGUUACCGUAAUAUUUAGGACCAGCUACAAAGACAUUUCUUCCCCCAAACCCAUGCCAAAUCUAAAUCAAACUAUCGUCUCCUCCCUGGCCACUCAAAUACACCCGGCUCAUAUUUGAAAAGGACAAGAAAUGCACAGGCCUCUCAUGCCUGUUUGAACAGAUAGAUAAACAAGGCACAUCAUGCCUAGUGUUGCUUUGAGCUUGGUCAUUUCCUUCUAAAAUAGACUCUGAUACUAUGUUCACUUAAGACUUGGAACUUAGAUGUUCUAGAAAGAAGCAUAUUUUAAGUCUAGCUACAGCAAAUUUAGUCUGCUGUCAGUGCUGAUGCAGGAAAGAGGAGUAAAUCUAAAAUCAUGGGCCUUCAAUAGGUGUGGCUCUGAGCUUCUCCUACACAAACCUCAGUCUCGAGUGCGGGCAGGUCAGCUAGAUGUCCCGUCCCCAUCCUUAGUGGCCGCAGGUUGUCUGCUCACCACAGGUAACGCUAAACAAAUAAUGCUAAUCCAUUUUGUUUUGAAGAAGGCAAGACUGGGUGGCUCAGUCGGUUGAGCGUCUGGCUUCAGCUCAGGUCAUGAUCUCACUGUUUGUGGGUGCGAGCCCCACAUCGGGCUCUGUCCUGACAGCUCAGAGCCUGGAGCCUGCUUCGAACUUUGUGUCUCCCUUUCUCUCUACUCCUCCCCUGCUCAUGCUCUGUUUCUCUCCUUCAAAAAUAAAUAAAAACAUUGAAAAAAAGAAAAAAAA
Acinonyx jubatus (cheetah) is the source of this 15006-nucleotide long non-coding RNA. RefSeq lists it as uncharacterized. The record is from RefSeq and is a predicted model, not a curated record. The transcript is spliced from 2 exons. NCBI's taxonomy places the organism in Eukaryota, Metazoa, Chordata, Mammalia, Carnivora, Felidae.